Molecule: long non-coding RNA, 315 nt
Organism: Dermacentor silvarum
Lineage: Eukaryota; Metazoa; Arthropoda; Arachnida; Ixodida; Ixodidae
Exons: 3
Source: RefSeq, a predicted model, not a curated record
CUCAGGUCACAGUCUUUAUAAGGCUGUAGAAAGACAAUGCAAAUAUAGGGUAACUUAGGAGAAACAUGUCGAUUGUAUUAAAGCAUAUAUAACUUUAACAUUCAUUGUACUCAACAGGAAAAAGAGGAUUAGUGUUGAAGGCUUGAUUCAAAAUUUAAGCUGAGAGUAGAUGCACUCAUAUCAAGUGUCACCCUUAGUAAUAAAUGGCCCAUAUACAGGGGCCAGACACAGGGCUUGUGGCAAGAAUAAGCACAGAGCACAAGACACGCGAUACAUGGGACAUUUUCCGCAAUCCUGCCAUAGCCCACAGCAUAU